Molecule: ribosomal RNA, 978 nt
Filed under: Chapsa alborosella
Lineage: Eukaryota; Fungi; Ascomycota; Lecanoromycetes; Ostropales; Graphidaceae
Description: eukaryotic LSU rRNA
Rfam family: Eukaryotic large subunit ribosomal RNA
Source: RNAcentral
GGAGGUGAAAAGCGCACAGCUCAAAUUUGAAAUCUGGCCUUUAGGUCCGAAUGUUAAUUUGUGGAAGGUGCUCUUGAUUGAGUAAUGGAUCGAGUUCUUUGGAAUGGGACAUCACAGAGGGUGAUAAUCCCGUUUCGACCAAUUAUCUGCCUAUGUGAAGCCCUUUCGACGAGUCGAGUUGUUUGGGAAUGCUGCUCAAAAUGGGUGGUAAAUUUCUUCUAAAGCUAAAUAUCGGCCAGAGACCGAUAGCGCACAAGUAGAGUGAUCGAAAGAUGAAAAGCACUUUGAAAAGAGAGUUAAAAAGCACGUGAAAUUGUUGAAAGAGAAGCGCUUGCAACCAGCCUUGCUCGCGGUGUUCAGCCUCCUGAAAAGGUGGUGCCCUUUCUGCGAGCGCACCACCAUCUCAUUUGGCGGUGGGGCAAAAGGUCGUGGAAAGUAGCUCUCUUCGGAGAGUGUUAUAGCCUCUUGCAAAAUGCGGCCAGUCGAGACCGAGGACUUUCCUCUUCAAGUAGGAUGUUGGAGUAAUGGUCGUCAGCGACUCGUCUUGCAACGCGCACCAAGUAGUUGAGAAACUAGACGAGCGUUAGGUCUUCAACCCCUUACGAGUAAAAAAAGUGACAGUAGGUAGGAUCCUUUUAGGCGCACCAUCGACCGAUGUGAUUUCGCGAGGAUUUGUGUGUGCGUGUAGUUUUCCAGACCCGAAAGAAGGUGAACUAUUGCUGUAUAGGGUGAAGCCAGAGGAAUCUCUGGUGGAGGCGCACAGCGGUUCUGACGCGCAAAUCGAUUGUCAAAGCUGCCAAUAGGGGAGAAAGUAUUAUCGCACCUUAUAGUAGGGGGUUCCUGGAGAAGUUUCCCUCAGGAUCGCAGUAGCGAUCACAUUUUCAUGGGGUAGAGCAACGAUUAGAGUCCUUGGGCAUUAAAUGCUUUAACCCAUUCUCGAACUCCGAAUAUGUGAGAAGUCCUUGUUUGCUUAUUGAA